Long non-coding RNA from Camelina sativa (false flax), 339 nucleotides. RefSeq lists it as uncharacterized. NCBI's taxonomy places the organism in Eukaryota, Viridiplantae, Streptophyta, Magnoliopsida, Brassicales, Brassicaceae. The record is from RefSeq and is a predicted model, not a curated record.
GGAAGAUGUCAUCAAACAACACGGACAUGGCGCGAUGGAGGUCGUGUUGAUCAGAGUCAUACGGUAAACAUGGAGUGAUUUUGGCAGCCAUUGGAGAAAGUCUGCUAUAAGAGAGAGGAAUGAAGCUUAAAGAUGUUUGGAGCCCAUAAAAGUCUAUGGAACCAGAUAAAGCCCAACCUUUGUCAAGUAUAUCCGAUUUUGAAAUUUCGGGUUUGUUUUUUAAUAAAAUCCGAUUGAACUAACACUAAAGUCACUUUUGUCCUUCUCACUGAUGUUGCUAGUUGUAGACGUGAGGGGCAUUUUUGUCCGUUGUGUAAGUUGUACUUCUCUUUUACUAUA